AGUCGACGGUAUCUUUGGAUCAGUGGCGAACGGGUGAGUAACACGUAGGGAACCUGGCCAUACCUGGGGGAUAAUUUCUGGAAACGGAAACUAAUACCGCAUGGGUUUUGCUUAAGCCUUUAAGCGAAAUGAAAGAAGCGCACGACGCUUCGGGGAUGGAUGGUCCUGCGCUGCAUUAGCUGGCUGGUGAGGCAACGGCUCACCAGGGCGAUGAUGCAUAGCCGGCCUGAGAGGGCGGACGGCCACACUGGGACUGAGACACGGCCCAGACUCCUGCGGGAGGCAGCAGUAGGGAAUUUUCGUCAAUGGGGGCAACCCUGAACGAGCAAUGCCGCGUGAGCGAAGAAGGUCUUCGGAUUGUAAAGCUCUGUUGCCGGGGAAAAAGGAAGGAAAGAGGAAAUGCUUUUCUUUGGAUGGUACCCGGCCAGAAAGUCACGGCUAACUACGUGCCAGCAGCCGCGGUAAUACGUAGGUGGCAAGCGUUAUCCGGAAUGAUUGGGCGUAAAGGGUGAGCAGGCGGUUCUUCAAGUCAUGAGUGAAAGGCAGAAGCUUAACUUCUGUUGGCUGAUGAGACUGGAGAACUUGAGUACAGGAGAGGGCGGCGGAACUCCAUGUGUAGCGGUAAAAUGCGUAGAGAUAUGGAAGAACACCAGUGGCGAAGGCGGCCGCCUGGACUGAAACUGACGCUCAGGCACGAAAGCGUGGGGAGCAAAUAGGAUUAGAUACCCUAGUAGUCCACGCCGUAAACGAUGAGGAGCAGGUGUCGCAAUGAAAUGCGGUGCCGAAGCCAACGCAAUGACUCCUCCGC
Molecule: ribosomal RNA, 808 nt
Filed under: uncultured bacterium
Lineage: Bacteria
Description: bacterial SSU rRNA
Rfam family: Bacterial small subunit ribosomal RNA
Source: RNAcentral